Molecule: ribosomal RNA, 451 nt
Filed under: uncultured bacterium
Lineage: Bacteria
Description: bacterial SSU rRNA
Rfam family: Bacterial small subunit ribosomal RNA
Source: RNAcentral
CGAACGCUAGCGGCGGGCUUAACACAUGCAAGUCGAGCGCUCGGAGCAAUCCGGGAGCGGCGAACGGGUGAGUAACGCGUAGGUAACCUGCCCUCUGGUGGUGGAUAACACAGGGAAACUUGUGACAAUACAGCAUAUGGUCUACGGAUCAAAGCCGAAAGGCGCCAGAGGAUGAGCCUGCGUCCCAUUAUUUAAUCCUAGUUGGCGGGGUAAUGGCCCACCAAGGGUACGAUGGGUAGCUGGUCUGAGAGGAUGAUCAGCCACACUGGAACUGAGACACGGUCCAGACUCCUACGGGAGGCAGCAGUGGGGAAUAUUGCGCAAUGGGGGAAACCCUGACGCAGCCACGCCGCGUGUGUGAUGAAGGCCUUCGGGUCGUAAAGCACUGUCGGGAGGGAAGAAGUUCUGACGGUACCUCCCAAGAAAGCACCGGCUAGCCCUGUGCCAGCAG